GGAUCCUGGAUGGAGGAGGGGAGAGGAUGCUGGAUGGAGGAGGAGGAGGAGGAGAGAGGAUCCUGGAUGGAGGAGGGGAGAGGAUGCUGGAUGGAGGAUGCAGAGGAGAAAUCAUGGUAGACAGAUUAAGGAUCAAAUCGGCACAGGUUGCAAUGAGAGAAAAACUGAAGAAGUUAACGGAUGACUCGUAUUUGUGUGAUGAUUUGGAGACUUUACAAAAAAUGACUGUAGCUCUGGACAAUAUGACACAAACAAUUGAACAACUGUGCAAGAGAGAGAAUGGACUGAUUCUUAAUAAACUGGAUGACAUUGUUAUGUUGAAAAAACAUGAUCUUAGGGCACUGCCAGUUCGAAAGCACAAAUCAAAACUGUCCAGAAAACGAAAAUGGACCCAAGCUCCCUUGUCGCCCCUAAUUGAACAUUGCGAGGAGACACUGGGCCACAGCUCUUCUGCUGUCCUGCACCCAAAAUCCUGAGGAUGCCAUGGAGCUCGGCAAAAAAAUCCCUAGCUAACCCUAAAUAUUUAUAUUAAACCAUUUUGCAACAGG
This is a long non-coding RNA of Gadus morhua (Atlantic cod), 548 nucleotides long. RefSeq lists it as uncharacterized. Lineage: Eukaryota; Metazoa; Chordata; Actinopteri; Gadiformes; Gadidae. The record is from RefSeq and is a predicted model, not a curated record. The transcript is spliced from 2 exons.